This 1010-nucleotide ribosomal RNA is filed under the name Acidobacteriota bacterium. RNAcentral describes it as "bacterial LSU rRNA". It matches the Rfam family "Bacterial large subunit ribosomal RNA", at positions 1 to 947 of the family's 2925-position model. The record is from RNAcentral. Lineage: Bacteria; Pseudomonadati; Acidobacteriota.
UUUUAUGGUCAAGCUACUAAGGGCACAUGGUGGAUGCCUUGGCGCAGGAGGGCGACGAAGGACGUGGUAAGCUGCGAUAAGCCUCGGUGAGCCGCAAACAGGCGUUGACCCGGGGAUCUCCGAAUGGGGCAACCUGUCACGAGUAAUAUCGUGACAUCCGUCUCUGAAUCAAAUAGGGGACGGCAGGCCAACGGGGGGAAGUGAACCAUCUCAGUACCCCUAGGAAAAGAAAGUCAACGCGAUUCCCCGAGUAGCGGCGAGCGAAAGGGGAACAGCCCAAACCCGAUGUAUGUCAAAGCUCGUGAGCGUUGUACAUCGGGGGUAGCGGGGGCAGGCGUGGUUCCGUCACGACGGAAUCGCGAAGUCACAAAUCGAUGGAUUAGCCGAACGAUCUGGAAAGAUCGGCGGUACGAGGUAAUAGCCCUGUAGGCGAAAAUCCUUCGACUUCGAGCCUGCUUCCCAAGUACCACGGGACACGGGAAAUCCUGUGGGAAUCCGGGAGGACCAUCUUCCAAGGCUAAAUACCAACCUGCGACCGAUAGUGAACUAGUACCGUGAGGGAAAGGUGAAAAGAACCCCUUUUAGGGGAGUGAAAUAGUACCUGAAACCAUGUGUCUACAAGCAGUGGAAGGGCUAUGACCUCUUUCGGGAGGUCACGCCCGACCGCGUGCCUUUUGCAUAAUGAGCCGGCUAGUUAGUCUGUGCAGCAAGGCUAAGCGAUAAGCGAGCCGUAGCGAAAGCGAGUCUUAAAUGGGCGAUCAGUUGCACGGACUAAACGCGAAGCGGGAUGAUCUACCCUUGGCCAGGGUGAAGCAUAUGUAACAAUAUGUGGAGGCCCGAACCAGUGUUGGUUGAAAACAGCUUGGAUGAGCUGAGGGUAGGGGUGAAAGGCCAAUCAAAUUCCGUUAUAGCUCGUUCUCCCCGAAAUAGCUUUAGGGCUAGCCUCGCAUGUUUGUUCUCGGAGGUAGAGAACUGGAUGGACUAGGGGCCUUACCAGGUUACUGAAUCCA